This 475-nucleotide ribosomal RNA is filed under the name uncultured Acidobacteriaceae bacterium. RNAcentral's name for it is "bacterial SSU rRNA". It matches the Rfam family "Bacterial small subunit ribosomal RNA", at positions 8 to 489 of the family's 1533-position model. Lineage: Bacteria; Pseudomonadati; Acidobacteriota; Terriglobia; Terriglobales; Acidobacteriaceae. The record is from RNAcentral.
AGAGUUUGAUCCUGGCUCAGAAUCAACGCUGGCGGCGUGCCUAACACAUGCAAGUCGAGCGAGAAAGUGUAGCAAUACAUGAGUACAGCGGCGCACGGGUGAGUAACACGUGGGUAAUCUGCCCUAGAGUGGGGAAUAACACCGGGAAACCGGUGCUAAUACCGCAUACGAUCACGAUGUCUGCGGACGUUGUGAUGAAAGGAGCAAUUCGCUCUUGGAGGAGCCCGCGGCUGAUUAGCUAGUUGGUAAGGUAAUGGCUUACCAAGGCUACGAUCAGUAUCCGGUCUGAGAGGACGGUCGGACACACUGGAACUGAGACACGGUCCAGACUCCUACGGGAGGCAGCAGUGGGGAAUUUUUCGCAAUGGGGGCAACCCUGACGAAGCAACGCCGCGUGGGUGAUGAAGUAUCUCGGUACGUAAAACCCUUUCGACGGGGAAGAAAACCGCAAGGUUUGACGGUACCCGUAGAAGAG